RNAcentral lists this long non-coding RNA (322 nucleotides) under Phascolarctos cinereus (koala). Its description in RNAcentral is "lncRNA (ENSPCIG00000002994.2)". Lineage: Eukaryota; Metazoa; Chordata; Mammalia; Diprotodontia; Phascolarctidae. The record is from RNAcentral.
GGCCUCUUGUGGUCACAAGGGUGCAUGUCAACAUAUUUGCCUCCCUCUCCAGGUCUGUCUUGCUCCACCCAAGUAUUCUUUUCAUCCAAGCCCUGAAAUGAGAGAACUUCCUGGAACUGUGUAGUCAUAUGUUGCUUCUAUGGGGAGGCCAUGGGACCCCUCAGCUGAUCUUCCAGUCAAGAGAGAGCUCUCUGAUUCUGAAGUCAAUCUCGGGAGUCAAGGAAUAUCCUAAGGAAGUUUAUUUUACUUGGAGAGGCAGUGUAAUAGAGUGGAAAGAACACCGGCCUUGGAGAGAAAUAGCAUGGUGUCAUGGUAAGCCCAC